Molecule: ribosomal RNA, 369 nt
Filed under: uncultured Glomeromycotina
Lineage: Eukaryota; Fungi; Glomeromycota
Description: LSU rRNA
Source: RNAcentral
UUGAAAGGGAAACGAUUGAAGUCAGUCAUGCUAGUGAAAAAUCAGUUUGACGGGUUUUGAGUUCUUGAGUAGAGGCAGGGUCAAACCGUUUCUCUUUCGAACUUUGGAUCUGUUAGAUGUACUUUUUCUUUGGCAGGUCAACGUCGGUUUCGGAGGUUGUAAAAUACUUGGGGGAAAGUAGCUCUGCUUCGGGAGAGUGUUAUAGACCCUGGGAGAUGCAGCCUGUGGGAUCGAGGAUUGCAGCAAAUGCCUUCUGGCUUGUCGCCUGUUCCUGGGUGUUACCUUUCUUGUAACAACAUUCUUGCUACCGGAGAGUACUAAUGCCUACUGUUUAGAGCGAUCGAAAAUUUCGUUAAGGAUGUUGACGUA